CACCGGCAGUAACCGGAACUCAGGAUUAUUAUCCAUUGUAAAUCUAAUCUAGAGUUAGGUGGGACAUUGACUAAACAUUGAACUUUUAGAGUAACACAGACCGCAUGUUGUCUUUCUUCCGUUUACCCUGCUGUAGACACUGAGGGCUCCAGUGAUGUCAGUGACGGCGAUGUGAAUCUGAGCAGGCGGCGGUCACGGCGCAGUCAGAAAGCCCAGAUUAACUACUGCGAGACGUCCGAGUCCGAGGGGUCACAGAAAACCUCAGAACGGAAGACUAACCAAGCGCCACGUCGUCGCCGAAUCUCCAGCUCUAACACGUCUGUUGUUUCGAAGGACUCUGAGCCCGAGGAGGAGUCUGACUCGAGGGGCAGACACCGAGGCAGAAAGAGGCAGUCGACGAGGGAAGACUCGAAACAGAGGCACAAACGGCUCAAACUGAAACCAGCAAGAAGUACGAGCGAGGAAGAGGAGGAAUCGGACGAGGAAGGAGACGCCGGUGUGUCCGACGCGGAAAGGAGACCAGUCCGUAAAAACCUGAACCGUAUCGAAUCGGAUGAGGAAGAAGAGGACGGGGCGGAGAAAAGACCAAUGAGAAAGAUGGCCGGAAAGCAGGCCAGCAGAGUUACAGACUGCAGGGAGAUGAGUGUGAAGGCACACACUAGAGGCUCGAAGGACUCGAUGCUGAAGCACAACGGCCUGCUCCCUCCAAGAUCUUCAGCUCAGGAUGAAGAUGAUGACGAUGAGGAGGAGGAAGAGGAGGAUGAGGAGGAUGACCUCACCGCCACUACAGACUUUGUUAACUUUGUUUUUGACAGCGAACAGUUAUCGUGAUGUGCUGAAGAAAUUUCAUAUAUUAUUUUCUCAUUGCCUUUUUUUUUUUUUUUUAAGGUUUGUUUGUUUGUUUGUUUGUUUGUUUUUUUGAGUGUACUGGACCAAUCCAAGCUUCCAGAGGAAUUUUCACACGAUGUCUAAACAUACUUUAGUUACAUACAUCAUGCACAUGUCAGAUGUAGAGCAGGGUCUCGGUGCACAUCCUGAUUUUUUUAUGAGUGAAAGGUGCGAAAUUUGAAAGUUAGAUUUGAUCAGCUAGUCGCAAACUUGAUCAUAUGACUAGUUUCUCUAAGGUUAGCUGCCCUUUUAGUGGACUUGGCUCAUGGUUUUAAUUCCACAGUGUAUUCCACAAUUUUAAUUCCACAAGAGACUGGAAUGAAUGGGAAUCAUGGGCGAUUGUUUCCAGAGCUGAAAACAUAUGUAAAAAUGCAUAUUCUAAACUUAUAUCGACUGAAGACACUACGGUUCUAUUUCACAUUUUAUAUUUCCCUUUUAAAAGAAGCUUCAAAAAUCAGAAUGAAAACUGUAUAUAGUCUUGAUCUGGUCUGGAUUUUUUUCUUGAGGAAAGGGCAAGUACUCUGUCGUGGUCUUUCAUGCCAAGUCAGUCCUCUAGUGAUGGUAAUUAUGGCUGGGGUUUUUUAGCGAGAUGGGUCUUUUAGUUCAGCUCACCAAUAAGGGUCAAAUCUUUUGGUUCCCAAACAGCUGAUUGUCGUCUUUUUCUUUUCUUUUUUUUUUUAAACUCAAAGUUUGGUAUUUCGACCAGUGUUUGCUCUAUUAAUGAGUAAAAUUGUUUGGUAAAAUUGUUCCUAUUAGCAAAAUAACAUUUCUCUCGCACUGCACUACGUUAUUCAAAAUGAAUUUCAAUAAUUGUAACUGAUCUCUGAACUCUAAACAUACACAUACAGUCCCCCUCAAACCCAUUUGGGUUUGAGAUCGAAAUAUGGAGACGAGAGUUUAGGAUUUCAGCUUUUAUUUCCUGGUAUUUACAUCUAGAUGUAUUAAACGACAUAAAGCAUAGAACCUUUGUAUCAGACAACCCAAUUUUUAGGUGAGCAAAAGUAUAGGAACAGAUAAGAUUAAGAUACAUUUCUGCUCUGAAGCCUUCUUCGUACUGUGAAUUGUGAUACCUUCACCCCUGCUCUAUGGAGGUUGUUGGUUGUUUUAGGGGUUUUCUUCACAGCUCUCACAAUGUUUGUGUCAU
Ictalurus punctatus (channel catfish) is the source of this 2032-nucleotide long non-coding RNA. NCBI's taxonomy places the organism in Eukaryota, Metazoa, Chordata, Actinopteri, Siluriformes, Ictaluridae. The record is from Ensembl.